Molecule: ribosomal RNA, 252 nt
Filed under: uncultured bacterium
Lineage: Bacteria
Description: partial 16S ribosomal RNA
Rfam family: Bacterial small subunit ribosomal RNA
Source: RNAcentral
UACGAAGGGGGCUAGCGUUGUUCGGAAUUACUGGGCGUAAAGGGCUCGUAGGUGGCCAACUAAGUCAGACGUGAAAUCCCUCGGCUUAACCGGGGACUGCGUCUGAUACUGGAUGGCUUGAGAUUGGGAGAGGGAUGCGGAAUUCCAGGUGUAGCGGUGAAAUGCGUAGAUAUCUGGAGGAACACCGGUGGCGAAGGCGACAUCCUGGACCGGUAUUGACGCUGAGGCGCGAAAGCCAGGGGAGCGAACGGG